RNAcentral lists this long non-coding RNA (559 nucleotides) under Volvox carteri. RNAcentral's name for it is "long non-coding RNA (VCAR_LNC001204)". The record is from RNAcentral. Lineage: Eukaryota; Viridiplantae; Chlorophyta; Chlorophyceae; Chlamydomonadales; Volvocaceae.
AUGCCAUAGGGAGUAUCCCGGUAGCUCGGGAAGCAUCGUUCGCCAAUAUUAAUUAAAGGCCUCUAACGCUGCAGGAAAAUUUUAGUAGAAGAUUUAGAACUAUGUAUGUAUUUAGUUUUAGCGUUUGUUCCCGCUUUGAGGGCGUGAAAUGCCGUGUCAUUGUCCCUAAUAAGUCAUUGUCCCGGCAUUUCGGCCGAUGUCCCCAAGCAACUGCUUUGCGUCCAUGUCACUAGAUUGGUGCAAUAGGUUGACAAGGUCGUCCAUAUGGCACCUUUCCUUGGACAAGGCAUCCUCCAAUUGGCACGCGGUAAAUUGACUUAGAUUGUUUGCCCUGGCAAACUUAUGUACUCCAAACUCAUCCACUGGACGAUGCUGGCUGUAUUUCUUGCGUGGGCGAUCUUGUCGCCGACGGGCGAUGUUGUCCAGGGCGUUCCGGUCAAACUCGUAGGCGCCGACCUCAUUACCGUUGUCCAUGGACAUUGUGUUGGAAGGAUACGUUAAGGUUCAGAUAAAAUGAAGAAAUCAAGAAGCGCUACUUCAUAGUAUGGAGAUGGUAGAA